CAGCUUUCUGAAAUGGUGUCCCACCACAAGGACUGGAGAAGGGGAAAAGAGAAGGUUUUGUCCCUUCAAUUUCCGCAAAUGAGAAGCAACUAUCACCCACCAAAAUGCUAUACCAAUGGAGCAUUCCCCCAAAGACACAAAGCAAAUUUGAGCGAUUUUCUUAUUUGAGUUCAAAAUGGGCUGUAAAGCGGUGGAGACAACUCGCAACAUCAACAAUCCAUUUGGCCCAGGAACUGCUAAGGAAUGUACAGUGGAGUGGUGGUUCAAGAAGUCUGGCAAAGGAGAUGAGAGCCUUGAAGAUGAGGAGUGUAGUGGCUGACCACUGGAAAUUGACAACAACCAAUUAAGAGCGGUCAUCGAAGCUGAUCCUCUUACAAUGACACAAGAAGUUGCCAAAGAACUCAGUGUUGACCGUUCUUUGGUCAUUCAGCAUUUGAAGCAAAUUGGGAAGGUGAAAAAGCUUGGUAAGUGGGUGCCUCAUGAGCUGAGCGAAAAUUUUUAAAAAAUCAUUGUUUUGAAGUGCUGUCUUCUCUUAUUCUACGUGACAACAAUGAACCAUUUCUCUAUCAGAUAGUGAUGUGCAAGGAAAAGUGGAUUUUAUAUGACAAUUGGUGAUGACCAGCUCAGUGG
This 630-nucleotide long non-coding RNA is filed under the name Pongo abelii (Sumatran orangutan). RNAcentral's name for it is "lincRNA". Lineage: Eukaryota; Metazoa; Chordata; Mammalia; Primates; Hominidae. The record is from RNAcentral.